Delphinapterus leucas (beluga whale) is the source of this 1834-nucleotide long non-coding RNA. RefSeq lists it as uncharacterized. The record is from RefSeq and is a predicted model, not a curated record. Lineage: Eukaryota; Metazoa; Chordata; Mammalia; Artiodactyla; Monodontidae.
UUCAUCUUUUAGGUGUCCAAAGUCUUCCGCUAAUGUUCAGCAGGUGCUCUGUGGGAACUGUUCCACUUGUAGAGGAAUUCUUGGUGUACUUGUGAGGAGCGAUGAAUUCCGCGUCCUCCUAUUCCGCCAUCCUGACACCCCCCUCACCCCCCAUCUGCUUGCUUAAUAGUAAUUCAUAUGAUCUUUUCAAGUCGGCCAAAGACUUCCUAAAUGUUAGCUCUUUCUCACUCCACAACUUAAAAUAGCUAGGCUUAAAGCCAAUUGGAAUGAACAAAAAAGGAAUUUCAGGUGCCUGAACCUGUUCCAUCCAGGGGCAGUACUGGCUGGACACAGGCUUUGCACAUGCUGUUCCUUCUGUCUGGAAUGCCCUUCCCUCCCCUCCCUCACCUGCCUGCACCUGCAGCAAGUCCUUCUCAACCUCCAGGGUUCAGCACAUUCUUUUGGGAAGCCUUCCCUGAUUUCUUGCCUAGAAAAUCUUCUCCCUACACAAGCUUUUAAAUCCUCUUUGUGGCAUCCUUCAUAGUUGUGCUUUAACAUUUAUUAGUUGAAUAGUGUUUUCUUCCUUACUAGUCUACAAGCUGAGAGAAUUGGGCGUGCCCAGGAAUCACCAGGCCACCUUAUUAAAAUGCGGGUUCUGGUUUAGCAGGUCUGGGGCGGGCCUGAGGAUCUGCAUGCCUAAGAAGCCCCCAGGCUGUACCAAAGCCAAGGCUGCCAGUCAGCACACCACACCUUGAGUGUUAAGAGGUCCAAGAGAGCUAAACCCUUAUUCCCUUCUUUCCCGCUUCAAUUCCCAUUCAUGACUUUUGCAGAGAGGUUUGUUUAUUUUUUCCCCUUUAACCCAUCAACCUAGGUCCCCAAGGCUGUGCAUUCCAUUAGAGUCCCCUCCCCUAUAACCCCCAACCUCCAGCGUCACCACUACUAGUGCACGGGCUUAUCAAGGAAUUUCCCCCCAAAUAGCUUUCUCUUGAAGACAUCUAGUGUCAUUGGCUAAAAUAUUAUUAUUUUUUUUCCACUUGAUUCCUUCAGGCAGAAGACCAUAAGGCAGUCACGCAUUGCUGGGAUUUCAGCAAGAAACAUUUCCCUUUUCUCCUCAAUUUUGGGGACCAAUUAAGCUAUAGAUGCAGGUUUAAUAUACUUGCCUGCUUUACUAGGAGAUACUCUGGUGAUGGAAUAAUAGAAACAGAGGUAGAGAACGGAGUUUGCUUCCAUCUCAUGGUUUCCAAACUAGUUAGGCCUCAUAAUAGCAAGUGAGGAGCAGGGAAAAAACCAAGAGGGAGACAUUUACAGAAGCAAGAAAUCUAACCCAAGCUCAGAAGAAGAUGCAACAGGACCACCAGUGAAACGAAAGGGCAGCUUCCUGGGACUCAAGCAGAUUGGACCAGACAUGAACCACGAGUCCAGACAAGCACAAGACCCCAAGUGCAAACACACGUGGCUUCCCUGGCUGUCUCCUGGGUCUCUGGUCUCCUCUCCAGGACCUGGUUUGCACAUCUUCCCUGAACCCUUCUCCGGAUGGCCAGGGACAGCCUGAACCUCCAACGUUACAAUGACCAGUUUGUGUGACUUGCUUCCCUUCUGACACUGGCCGUUGGGAAGAAUGAAUGAAACUGGACAUCUAAAGCAUCCCGUGCCACUCCACCAAGUUUGAAAACUGCUGGUAAAAUGGGAAGAACACGGGCUUGGGAGUAAACUGCACUGGGUUUUCCUGGAUAAUCUGGGACCUGAGGCUAAUGAUACCCAACCUCGUGGACAGCUUUCAUUUCCUGUAUGCUUGGUGUCUUACCCAAGAAAUCACUGCCAAGACCAAUGUCAAGAAUUUUUCCCUGUGUUUUCU